Small nucleolar RNA from Dendronephthya gigantea, 268 nucleotides. RefSeq annotates it as small nucleolar RNA SNORA53. The transcript has a single exon. The record is from RefSeq and is a predicted model, not a curated record. Lineage: Eukaryota; Metazoa; Cnidaria; Anthozoa; Malacalcyonacea; Nephtheidae.
CACACGCUUCCUUAGAUCCACUUUCAGAAUGUGUUGUCAUGGCAUAUGACGUGCUCGUAUGAUCACCUGAUUUCACGUCAUUUUCCAUGACGUCAUUCAACAGCCUUACGCUGCCUCAUUGAAAGUGCAUGAGUCAUUGGUGUGUGACAGCAACAUACCCCCUUUGUGCUCGUCUUUCUGGCUGAUGUAUUGUUGAACAUUUUUGAGAUGGUUCAUCUCAUCGAUGGCUUAACUUUUGUUACACCCAGCCGACGGCACAGGGGACAUU